RNAcentral lists this long non-coding RNA (1960 nucleotides) under Capsella grandiflora. RNAcentral's name for it is "long non-coding RNA (CGRA_LNC001602)". The stretch from base 280 to 366 matches the Rfam family "mir-160 microRNA precursor family". Lineage: Eukaryota; Viridiplantae; Streptophyta; Magnoliopsida; Brassicales; Brassicaceae. The record is from RNAcentral.
UUAAACUAAUUUCUAAAAAUCGAAACCUAACUUUGGUCAUAUGCUUUUGAAUAACUUUUUUAUUUGGCAAGAACAUAAUAAGCUCUCUCUUCUCUCUUUCUCCUUUAUAUACGUGUACCACAAAUUCCUCUUCAACCAUAAAUCUCUCUGACUACUUCAUUUUCUCUCCUCAACAGUAAUACACAAAGUUUCUUAUUGGAUUCAAGCCAAGAUCAACGUAUCAAGAUGUUCAUCUUCCAUGUGUAGAGGUUUCAUAUAUAUGUAUUUAUUAGUUUGUCGUUAUGCCUGGCUCCCUGUAUGCCACGAGUGGAUACCGAUUUUGGUUUAAAAAUCGGCUGCCGGUGGCGUACAAGGAGCCAAGCAUGACCAGAAGCAUAUGAUAACUCAUUUGCAUCAACAACUAUAUAUGGUUUGUGUUAUAGUAGAUGAUGUCUUAUUCAAUAUUCAUCUUUGGUGUUUAUAACUUUGUGUUUUUGAUCAGUAAACAGAAAUAAAACCAUAGUUUUGUGAUUGUCUGUUUGAUAUGUACUACGAUACUUUUGUUUGGAUUCGGUUUUAGUCAUAUGAAUAGUCGUGAGUUUUUUUAAAAGAAUGGUUUCGUUUUCUCCCGGUUUGGUCAAGUAACUUGUUUCAAGUUUCAUAAGUAUAGAAUUUGAUUAGGGCUACAAUAAUCUAAAUUGAUUCGUUUAAAGUUACAGUGAUUUGGUUUGUCCAAAUAUAUACUCGAGUCAUUUCGUUUGUUUUUAUUUUAGUCUUGGUGUAAUCAUUUCGUCUAUGUUAUGUAGCUUUACUGUAAAGUUCUUCUAUGUUUGAAUUUUUGUCUACUUUUUUUAUAUGAAUAUUUUGGGAUGCACCGAACUUGAAUCAUUUCAUUUGAAUUAUCAUUGGCGGACAAAGUUGAAGUCUUAGGAGAAGAAACAUGUUUGAGAGUGUUCUUUUGUUUUCGGUGGCAAACAGUAAACGUAACAAUCAAUCAGAUUAAUUCUGAAGAAAAAACUCAGAAUUUAGGCGUUAAUUAAGUCUUUAAAAGUUGAAUCAAUCACGGAACACUAUAAAUUGACGGUGAACCAUUUAACAUGGUUAUUUUAAAACCACUUCCAUAUAUAUAAUUAACUAGUGUUUGAUAAAAAUAAGUUAAAGGGGGAAAUUGGGAUCUAUACAAGGGAAGUAUCUAGUAUAUAGUUUUAUGUUAUGUCUUUCUAAGUUGUGUAUUAACCAAAAUUUUCUUUGUUAGGAUAAGAAUGCUUUGUUUUUCAAACAUUUACCAUAUUUAAGUAGUAGGAAUUGACUUUGCUAAACAGGUAGAUAUGUAAACAUUUUACUUGUAACGUGCGACUCGAUUUCUAAUUUUGUUCGGAUUUUUCAGAUAGUCGGAGGCUCUUACGAGUACGGAUUGUGACCUACCCGCGAUUGCAAGUACAAGUAGAAACAGAAAACAAUAACGGACAUUUAGAAAAUUUUGAAUUCAAGAAUUUGUACCCAAUCUCAAAAUAUACAUUCUAUUUAUUUUUAUAUAGAUUAAUAUGAUACAUAUAAAUAAUUAUAUUUUUCUUUUUCAUGAUAUUAUUCAUUAAUCCUUGCAAAUUUGAUCACUGUGAUUAAAGCUAAUUUUCUAUACUUCAUGUUUUUUUCUUAACAAAUCUAUAUUUCAUGUUUAUAACUUAUAAAACAGUUGUCCGGUCCGUGCCACGUCUACAAGGCCAAAAGAUCUUUGCGUUCGUCAAGCUGCUUUAAGCCUUAAGGGCAAGUAAACCAAGGCCUUCAAACAACGAGACUACGAGAGGGUCAUCACGUUAAUGUAAAAACCACUUUUCUCUGAAGCUGUUGUAUCGUUCAGACACAAGUUGUACUAGUAAUCUUUUUACUUAAUUCAACUCUAAUGAUAAACUCAUAAAAAAAGUUGAUGUCUUUAUCAUAAGAACAUCAACUCUUCAUAUUCUGUUUUAUCUGAAUAAAGAAU